CCGUAGCCCAAGAGAUCGGGAUAACACCUGGAAAUAGAUGCUAAUACCGGAUAACAACAGAUGAUGCCUAUCAACUGUUUAAAAGAUGGUUCUGCUAUCACUCUUGGAUGGACCUGCGGUGCAUUAGCUAGUUGGUAGGGUAACGGCCUACCAAGGCGAUGAUGCAUAGCCGAGUUGAGAGACUGAUCGGCCACAUUGGGACUGAGACACGGCCCAAACUCCUACGGGAGGCAGCAGCC
RNAcentral lists this ribosomal RNA (239 nucleotides) under uncultured Lactobacillus sp. RNAcentral describes it as "partial 16S ribosomal RNA". It matches the Rfam family "Bacterial small subunit ribosomal RNA", at positions 125 to 355 of the family's 1533-position model. Lineage: Bacteria; Bacillati; Bacillota; Bacilli; Lactobacillales; Lactobacillaceae. The record is from RNAcentral.